This 405-nucleotide unclassified non-coding RNA is filed under the name soil metagenome. RNAcentral's name for it is "partial contains 5.8S ribosomal RNA, internal transcribed spacer 2, and large subunit ribosomal RNA". The stretch from base 1 to 121 matches the Rfam family "5.8S ribosomal RNA", at positions 35 to 154 of the family's 154-position model. The record is from RNAcentral.
GAUGAAGAACGCAGCGAAAUGCGAUACGUAAUGUGAAUUGCAGAAUUCAGUGAAUCAUCGAAUCUUUGAACGCACCUUGCGCCCUUUGGCCAUUCCGAAGGGCAUGCCUGUUUGAGUAUCAUGAACACCUCAACUCUUUAUGGUUUUCCAUGAUGAGCUUGGACUCUGGGGGUUUUGCUGGCUCACAGUCGGCUCCUCUAAAAUGAAUCAGCUUACCAGUGUUUGGUGGGUAUCAUGGGUGUGAUAACUAUCUACGCUUGUGGUUUUUCCACCAGGUAACCUUCAGCAGUGGAGGUUCGCUGGAGCUCAUAGAUGUCUCUCCUCAGUGAGGACAGCCCUUUGAAUGUUUGAUCUCAAAUCAGGUAGGACUACCCGCUGAACUUAAGCAUAUCAAUAAGCGGAGGA